This 655-nucleotide ribosomal RNA is filed under the name Leptospira borgpetersenii serovar Hardjo-bovis. RNAcentral describes it as "partial 23S ribosomal RNA". It matches the Rfam family "Bacterial large subunit ribosomal RNA", at positions 1253 to 1894 of the family's 2925-position model. The record is from RNAcentral. Lineage: Bacteria; Pseudomonadati; Spirochaetota; Leptospiria; Leptospirales; Leptospiraceae.
AAGGUGUGCUGUGAGGCAUGCUGGAGGUAUCAGAAGUGCGAAUGCUGACAUAAGUAACGAUAAAGCGGGUGAAAAGCCCGCUCGCCGGAAGACCAAGGGUUCCUGUCCAACGUUAAUCGGGGCAGGGUGAGUCGACCCCUAAGGCGAGGCCGAAAGGCGUAGUCGAUGGGAAACAGGUUAAUAUUCCUGUACUUGGUGUUACUGCGAAGGGGGGACGGAGAAGGCUAUGUCGGCCGGGCGACGGUUGUCCCGGUUUAAGCGUGUAGGCUGACUUUCCAGGCAAAUCCGGAAAGUUAAGGCUGAGGCGUGAUGACGAGGCACUACGGUGCUGAAGUGACAAAUGCCCUGCUUCCAGGAAAAGCCUCUAAGCAUCAGGUAACAUCAAAUCGUACCCCAAACCGACACAGGUGGUCAGGUAGAGAAUACCAAGGCGCUUGAGAGAACUCGGGUGAAGGAACUAGGCAAAAUGGUGCCGUAACUUCGGGAGAAGGCACGCUGACAUGUAGGUGAAGCCCCUGCGGGUGGAGCUGAAGUCAGUCGAAGAUACCAGCUGGCUGCAACUGUUUAUUAAAAACACAGCACUGUGCAAACACGAAAGUGGACGUAUACGGUGUGACGCCUGCCCGGUGCCGGAAGGUUAAUUGAUGGGGUUAUC